UACGGAGGGGGCUAGCGUUGUUCGGAAUUACUGGGCGUAAAGCGCGCGUAGGCGGCUUUGUAAGUUAGAGGUGAAAGCCUGGAGCUCAACUCCAGAACUGCCUUUAAGACUGCAUCGCUGGAAUCGUGGAGAGGUGAGUGGAAUUCCGAGUGUAGAGGUGAAAUUCGUAGAUAUUCGGAAGAACACCAGUGGCGAAGGCGACUCACUGGACACGUAUUGACGCUGAGGUGCGAAAGCGUGGGGAGCAAACAGG
This 253-nucleotide ribosomal RNA is filed under the name uncultured bacterium. Its description in RNAcentral is "partial 16S ribosomal RNA". It matches the Rfam family "Bacterial small subunit ribosomal RNA", at positions 524 to 776 of the family's 1533-position model. The record is from RNAcentral.